Molecule: transfer RNA, 74 nt
Filed under: Streptococcus thermophilus MTCC 5461
Lineage: Bacteria; Bacillati; Bacillota; Bacilli; Lactobacillales; Streptococcaceae
Description: tRNA-Lys
Rfam family: tRNA
About the family: Transfer RNA (tRNA) molecules are approximately 80 nucleotides in length.
Source: RNAcentral
AUCUCGUUAGCUCAGUUGGUAGAGCAAUUGCAUUUUAAUCAAUGGGUCACAUGGUUCGAGUCCAGUACGGGUCA